Molecule: ribosomal RNA, 398 nt
Filed under: bacterium enrichment culture clone ALO1_GLFRUDD03FJK9V
Lineage: Bacteria
Description: bacterial SSU rRNA
Rfam family: Bacterial small subunit ribosomal RNA
Source: RNAcentral
GAGUUUGAUCAUGGCUCAGAUUGAACGCUGGCGGCAUGCCUUACACAUGCAAGUCGAACGGCAGCACGGGAGCUUGCUCCUGGGUGGCGAGUGGCGAACGGGUGAGUAAUGCAUCGGAACGUAUCCUGGAGUGGGGGAUAACGUAGCGAAAGUUACGCUAAUACCGCAUAUUCUGUGAGCAGGAAAGCGGGGGACCUUCGGGCCUCGCGCUCUUGGAGCGGCCGAUGUCGGAUUAGCUAGUUGGUGAGGUAAAGGCUCACCAAGGCGACGAUCCGUAGCAGGUCUGAGAGGAUGAUCUGCCACACUGGAACUGAGACACGGUCCAGACUCCUACGGGAGGCAGCAGUGGGGAAUUUUGGACAAUGGGGGCAACCCUGAUCCAGCCAUGCCGCGUGAGU